GCGAGGUAGCUCAGUUGGCUAGAGCACUCGGUUCAUACCCGGAAGGUCGUGGGUUCGAGUCCCACCCUCGC
Molecule: transfer RNA, 71 nt
Filed under: pig gut metagenome
Rfam family: tRNA
About the family: Transfer RNA (tRNA) molecules are approximately 80 nucleotides in length.
Source: RNAcentral